UAGGGAAUCUUGGACAAUGGGCGAAAGCCUGAUCCAGCCAUGCCGCGUGAGUGAUGAAGGCCUUAGGGUUGUAAAGCUCUUUCGCCAGGGAAGAUAAUGACGGUACCUGGAUAAGAAGCCCCGGCAAACUUCGUGCCAGCAGCCGCGGUAAUACGAAGGGGGCUAGCGUUGUUCGGAAUUACUGGGCGUAAAGCGCACGUAGGCGGUUUUCCAAGUUGGAGGUGAAAUCCCUGGGCUCAACCCGGGAACUGCCUCCAAAACUGGAUGACUCGAGUCCGAGAGAGGUUAGUGGAAUUUCUAGUGUAGAGGUGAAAUUCGUAGAUAUUGGAAAGAACACCAGUGGCGAAGGCGGCUCACUGGCUCGGUACUGACGCUGAGGUGCGACAGCGUGGGGAGCAAACA
RNAcentral lists this ribosomal RNA (402 nucleotides) under uncultured bacterium. RNAcentral describes it as "bacterial SSU rRNA". It matches the Rfam family "Bacterial small subunit ribosomal RNA", at positions 355 to 774 of the family's 1533-position model. The record is from RNAcentral.